RNAcentral lists this ribosomal RNA (333 nucleotides) under uncultured bacterium. RNAcentral describes it as "partial 16S ribosomal RNA". It matches the Rfam family "Bacterial small subunit ribosomal RNA", at positions 338 to 668 of the family's 1533-position model. The record is from RNAcentral.
CCUACGGGUGGCAGCAGUGAGGAAUAUUGGUCAAUGGGCGGAAGCCUGAACCAGCCAAGUAGCGUGCAGGAUGACGGCCCUACGGGUUGUAAACUGCUUUUAUACGGGAAUAACGCGCCUUACGUGUAGGGCUUUGCAUGUACCGUAUGAAUAAGGACCGGCUCAUUCCGUGCCAGCAGCCGCGGUAAUACGGAAGGUCCGGGCGUUAUCCGGAUUUAUUGGGUUUAAAGGGGGCGUAGGCCGCAUGACAAGCGUGCUGUGAAAUGUCCGAGCUCAACCCGGGCCUUGCAGCGCGAACUGGCGUGCGUGAGUGCGCGGAAGGCAGGCGGAAUU